Molecule: transfer RNA, 73 nt
Filed under: Actinomycetota bacterium
Lineage: Bacteria; Bacillati; Actinomycetota
Description: tRNA-Met
Rfam family: tRNA
About the family: Transfer RNA (tRNA) molecules are approximately 80 nucleotides in length.
Source: RNAcentral
UGCGGAGUGGAGAAGCUGGUAUCUCGUCAGCCUCAUAAGCUGAAGAUCGCGGGUUCGAGCCCCGCCUCCGCUA